This is a long non-coding RNA of Lycium ferocissimum, 3219 nucleotides long. RefSeq lists it as uncharacterized. NCBI's taxonomy places the organism in Eukaryota, Viridiplantae, Streptophyta, Magnoliopsida, Solanales, Solanaceae. The record is from RefSeq and is a predicted model, not a curated record. The transcript has 2 exons.
UCCACUUUUCAACUCUGGGCACUCCUAUUCAACCUCACUAACACUACAUGGAUCAUGCUUGAAUACACAACAUUUUGCUAAGCCCCUGAAUUAGAAGGGGAGGAAGCAAAAGCCAAAAGAGAUGGUGGAGUAUAACAUCUUGUAUCCAGUGGACUGUAUGGAGGGAGAGAAAUGGUUAUUUUUCGCAACCGGAGAAAGACUCAAAAUUAAUUAUAAGCUCCAUAAAGCGCACAUAUGCAAUAAUGGAAUCAACUUUACAAAUAAUUUUGUUAUAACCAAAGAUUUAAACGAAGUGAUUCUACUAGGCAUCCCAUUUAUAACUCAAAUAAAACCAUAUGUCGCAGGGUUAGAUAGAAUCCACACCAUUGCGUUAGGAAAACAAAUUAUUUUUCCCUAUUUAAAUAGUAUGUCAAAAGAAGAAAGCGAGUUUAUAAAAGAUAAAAUUAUCUUUAGAAUAAAUCUACUUUCACAACAAAUUUGCUUUUUAAAGGAUGAUAUAAAGAUAAAAAACGAUUGAUCUUCUUUAAAAACCCCGGAGGUAGAAGCUAAGGUGAGGCAAAAUACUUACAAGUUGUUUAUUGGUAAUAGUAAAACAUAGGGAACAUUCAGAGAGAGAGAGAUGUAGGCAAUAUGAAAAUCAAGGAUGAUUUUCGGAUGCCUCUAUUAAUACAAAUUUUGGAAGUCUUAUAGACCUCAGAAUACCAAUCAACUAGUUGUUAUUAACUUUACAUGUGUCAAGCUAUAGCUUUAACUUUACUGAAAGGGCAAGCUGGAGAUAAGAUUUGAGUUAUUCCUUGUGGGCUUCAUCUUGUCUUUAUUAGCUAGCUUCUUUAUUCAUUUCUUGAAAGGGCACAAUAACUUUAACUUUUUCCAAAAGGGCAAGGUUGCUUUUCUCUUUAAUCAAGAAGAUGAGCUUGAGCUAUCUCUUGUGGAUCCAUCAUGUCUCCAUUCUUUGGGGUCACUCGCAUGUGAAGUCGCAGUGUCUAACAAUCUUAUGAUUUGUCCCUAUCCGCAUUAUUGUCUAAUUUUGAUAAGGCUUCUUCGAGCCUUUUUUUUUUUUUUUUUUAACCCUUCUUAGAAACUCAGGGUUCCUCUCUUAAUGAAAAUGCUAAGGAUGGUGACGCCUUAUUUUCUUUGGGUUUUACGCCCAACCUUUGAUUCGGAUAGUCUUAACGCCCAACCUUUGAUUCGGAUAGUCUUACUUAGAUAAUUGAUCCUUUCAAAUUCAUGGACGUCGAAAGACCAACUAAUAAUGUAAGAAAUUCUUUUUUCUAUAAAGAAUUUACAACUAUAAUAUAAGAAAUUCUUUUUGCUAUAAAGAAUUUACACCAUUUAACAUUAUCUGAUAGAGUAGAGAGAACAAGACUUGUUAAAACCUUGUUAUCAAUCGGAACUAUGUGGAGACGGAUGAUCCCCUCAGGACCUGAAGGUAUUACGAGUUCAUAUUAGCUGACACCAAUUAAUGGCUAUUGAGCAUAUAUUAGAAGAUAAAAAUAAUCCUGAUAGUCAGGUUUUAAAAUUCAUAAUUAAAAGGAUCUUGAGCCCUUUUGAAUGGUUCGUAGAUCAUCUACACUCGCCCAUUCCUCUGUCAAGAGUUCAUCGACCACAAACAUAUAAUUAGUAUGAUUAUAAGGACGCCUAGUAAAACUCAUGUAUCUAAGGCCCAAUACUCCCAUUCCUGGUUUGUAAAGUAUACAGAAGAAAAUAAAAGAGCAGUCAUCCUCAGAUGGUUUUACGAAUGGUGGAGCCGGUUGGGAGGAAAUAAACAGGCGUUGUCCAAACAUUUCCAGACUCAGUUUGAAAGGUUCCAGGUAGAACAGAGUAUCUCUACUCUACCGGAUAAUAUUAAAUGAUGUAAAUUCUUUAUAGCAAAAAGAAUUUCUUGGUCUUUCGACGUCCAUGAAUUUGAAAGGUUCAAUUAUCUAAGACAGACUAUCAAAAUCAAAGGUUGGGCGUAAAACCCAAAGAAGAUAAGGCAGCACCAUCCUCAACAUUUUCAUUAAGAGAGGAACCCCGAGUUUUUAAAGAAGCAUCAAAAAUAGACAAUAAUGCAGAACAGAGAGAAAUCAUAGAAUUGUUAGACUCCGCAUUUUAACAUGCAAGUGACCCCAGCAAUAGAGACACAAGAGAUAGCUCAAGCUUAUCUCCUUGACUAAAGAGAAAAGCAAGUUUGCCCUUACGGAAAAGUUAAAGUUAUUGUGCCCCUUCAAGAAAGGAUUAAAGAAGCCAUCUAAUAAAGACAAGAUGGACCCCACAAGGGAUAACCAAUUUUAUAUCCAGCUUGCCCUGUCAGUAAAGUUAAAGCUAUUGUGUCCUUCAAUGGAAUGAAAAAGCCAGUUGCCCAGACAGCUUGACACUUGUAAAGUAAAUAGCGACUAAUUGAUUAGUAUCCUGAGGUCUAUUUAAGACUUUCAUAUUGUAUCAAUAGAGGCAUCCGAAAACCAUCCUUGACUUUCAAAUUGCCUACGUCUCUCUCUGAAUGUUUUACUAUUAUCAAUAAACAGCUUGUAUUCGUUAAUUCGUAUGAUCAACAGGAUUCCACAGUAAAGCAGGAUUGCACAGUACCAGUUUCUCAAAAAAAAUGUGCAGCAAUAGAACCCGCAAGGGUGGCUGAGUUGGUUCAGUGAAUGGUUUUCCACAUGGGAGACCUGGGAUCAAUUCCCCUCGGCAACAACCUUCUCAGUCUGAGCUCGUCACACUUGGCUUGCCUAGUGCAGUUUACAUCUCUUGUGAAUGUGUGGUUUGCGGGCUAGUGCACUAGCGGGGUUUACCCAAAGUGCAUCCAAAGGAUAGCGGUUGCGGGUUUCCUAGUUAUCAAAAACCAUAUGUACAGCGAUGGAGAUUAGCAAACUCAGGUUACAAAGCUGGUUGGAUUGGGCAUAGGAACUGGGCUAAGUUGGGGAUUGUUUCAAAAUGGGUUGUGAUUAAAUGGGUUAAAAUUGAGCCCAUUACUAAAUUAUGUUGGGCCCAACCCAUAAAAUUCUGGGCGGGCCACUAAUAUUUGGGCCACAUUUGCCACCCCAAUACUGAACUUACUAGUUAUUUGUGACAAUGGCUGCAAAGUUAGUAUAAAGUUUGAUCAUUGGGGUCCUUUGCUUUUGAUAGAAUAUUGAAACUCUAAUAUUAUGAUACAGCUUGUUCAUGUUCUUAAGUUCUUGGGUGUAGUUAGAGUUUCUCGUCCCAUAUCCUUCUUUGGGAAUAGUAAGCAAUUAUCGUGUU